AUUGACUUCAUCGGGGUUUGGA
RNAcentral lists this microRNA (22 nucleotides) under Taeniopygia guttata (zebra finch). Its description in RNAcentral is "tgu-miR-1803-3p". The record is from miRBase by way of RNAcentral. Lineage: Eukaryota; Metazoa; Chordata; Aves; Passeriformes; Estrildidae.